This 344-nucleotide ribosomal RNA is filed under the name uncultured bacterium. RNAcentral describes it as "partial 16S ribosomal RNA". It matches the Rfam family "Bacterial small subunit ribosomal RNA", at positions 338 to 693 of the family's 1533-position model. The record is from RNAcentral.
CCUACGGGUGGCAGCAGUCGAGAAUCAUUCACAAUGGGGGAAACCCUGAUGGUGCGACGCCGCGUGGGGGAAUGAAGGUCUUCGGAUUGUAAACCCCUGUCAUGUGGGAGCAAAUUAAAAAGAUAGUACUACAAGAGGAAGAGACGGCUAACUCUGUGCCAGCAGCCGCGGUAAUACAGAGGUCUCAAGCGUUGUUCGGAAUCACUGGGCGUAAAGCGUGCGUAGGCUGUUUCGUAAGUCGUGUGUGAAAGGCGCGGGCUCAACCCGCGGGCGGCACAUGAUACUGCGAGACUAGAGUAAGAGCGAGGGAGGCGGAAGGGGCGGGGUAGGGGUGAGAUGCGUAG